RNAcentral lists this ribosomal RNA (387 nucleotides) under Triticum aestivum (bread wheat). RNAcentral describes it as "partial small subunit ribosomal RNA". Lineage: Eukaryota; Viridiplantae; Streptophyta; Magnoliopsida; Poales; Poaceae. The record is from RNAcentral.
AUGGGUGCGGCGGUCGACGAGACGGCGGCGGCGGCGGCGGCUGCAGCUGUGGCGGCGGAGGGCGGCCCCGCUGCCGCCGCGGCGGAGUCCGACUCCAAGGACCUGCAGCAGCAGAGCAAGGCCCUCGACAAGCUCACCGACCACGUCGAGGAUCGCCAGCUCGACUCCUCCCGCGUCCAAUCCGCCAUGGCAGCUCUUGCUUCAUCUAAAGAGGCUGACUGGAAUGCCAUGAGACUAAGGGAGAAAGAAUUAGCUGCUGUCAAGAUCAACCCUACCGACGUUGAAAUCAUCGCCAACGAGCUUGAGCUGGACAAGAAGAUCGCAGAGAGGACGCUCCGAGAGCACAAGGGCGACGCUGUUGCCGCAGUCCGGUUCUUGCUUCGCUGA